Long non-coding RNA from Sinocyclocheilus rhinocerous, 332 nucleotides. RefSeq lists it as uncharacterized. The record is from RefSeq and is a predicted model, not a curated record. NCBI's taxonomy places the organism in Eukaryota, Metazoa, Chordata, Actinopteri, Cypriniformes, Cyprinidae. The transcript is spliced from 4 exons.
CAAGACUCGCAAAAGCUCUUGGCUCAAGGGAAACAUGAUUCUAGUCUGGCCUGGCCCAUGUCCCGUUUUCAGUCUGGCUCAACCCCGCUGUUAGAAGGCACUUUCUAUCACAGAAUAAAAAAAUGUAUCUUAGCUCUCUGCAAAUAGCACAUGGUGGCAUGGAGAUUGCUUCUGUAGGUUGGUUCACAGAAAUGAACAAGAAAUAAGGCCAUGUGUAACAUUAAAACUAGGCCAGUAGAACACCGAUGUCUAUAUGAAGAGAGGAACUGCAAACUUAUUCCAGGAUCUGAUAUAAAUUUGGAGUAGGGACACUAAGGAGGUUUUAUGUCUGA